UACGUAGGGUGCGAGCGUUAUUCGGAAUUACUGGGCGUAAAGCGCUCGUAGGUGGUUCGUCGCGUCGUGCGUGAAAGACCCCGGCUCAACUGGGGAGGGUCGUGCGAUACGGGCGAACUGGAGGCCAGUAGGGGGAUGCGGAAUUCCGGGUGUAGUGGUGGAAUGCGUAGAGAUCCGGAGGAACACCAGCGGCGAAGGCGGGUAGCUGGGCCAACACUGACGCUGAUGCGCGAAAGCUAGGGUAGCAAACGGG
Molecule: ribosomal RNA, 253 nt
Filed under: uncultured bacterium
Lineage: Bacteria
Description: partial 16S ribosomal RNA
Rfam family: Bacterial small subunit ribosomal RNA
Source: RNAcentral